GGAUGUGAAAGCGAUCUGGCUGCGAUAUCUGUCACCCCAAUGAUCGUCAGGGUUGAUUGGGCUGAUCUGGCUGGCUAGGCAGGUGUCUCCUUCCUCCCUCAAUGCUCCAUGUGCAUCCCUCCCAAAGCUGCAUACUCAGUCAAAGCGGAUGGCCUCCUGGAAUAGAGACGAACUGGUCUUUAGUGGAGGGUAUAGGAGUAGCUGCGUUCCCCUGUUAGAAUCUCCAAACAAGCUUUCAAGAAUAGGGAAGCUGUCAAGGGAGGGGAUGGGAUACAGAGUUCUGGUGGUGGGAAUUGUGUGGAGUUGUACUCCUCUUAUC
This is an unclassified non-coding RNA of Erinaceus europaeus (western European hedgehog), 319 nucleotides long. Its record names the gene 7SK. It matches the Rfam family "7SK RNA". From Rfam's summary of the family: 7SK was discovered as an abundant small nuclear RNA in the mid-70s but a possible function has only recently been suggested. Two independent studies have found that 7SK RNA binds the CDK9/cyclin T complex (known as elongation factor P-TEFb). NCBI's taxonomy places the organism in Eukaryota, Metazoa, Chordata, Mammalia, Eulipotyphla, Erinaceidae. The record is from Ensembl.